GAUGAACGCUGGCGGCGUGCCUAAUACAUGCAAGUCGAGCGAACGGACGAGAAGCUCGUUCUUCUGAUGUUAGCGGCGGACGGGUGAGUAACACGUAGAUAACCUACCUAUCUGCAUGGGAUAACUUCGGGACACCGGCGACAACACCUGCUAAUUUUUUUAAACGCACGGCUUAACAGUGAAAGACGGUCUUGCUGUCUCUUAUUGAUCGAUCCGCGCUGCAUUAGCUGGUUGCUAAGGAAACGGCUUACUAAGGCAACGAUGCAUAGCCGACCUGUGAGAGUGAUCGGCCACACGGGAACGGAGACACGGUCCAGACGCCUACGGGAGGCAGCAGUAGGAAAUCUUCCGCAAUGGGCGAAGGCCGGACGAGGCAACGCCGCGUGGGUGAGGAAGGUCUUCGGAUCGUAAAACUCUGUUAUUAGGAAGGAACGUAUGUGUAAGUAACUGUGCACAUCUUGACGGUACCUGAUCAGAAAGCCACGGCUAACUACGUG
This 497-nucleotide ribosomal RNA is filed under the name uncultured bacterium. RNAcentral's name for it is "partial 16S ribosomal RNA". It matches the Rfam family "Bacterial small subunit ribosomal RNA", at positions 28 to 507 of the family's 1533-position model. The record is from RNAcentral.